GAUGAACGCUGGCGGCGUGCCUAAUACAUGCAAGUCGAGCGAACGGACGAGAAGCUUGCUUCUCUGAUGUUAGCGGCGGACGGGUGAGUAACACGUGGAUAACCUACCUAUAAGACUGGGAUAACUUCGGGAAACCGUAGCUAAUACCGGAUAAUAUUUUGAACCGCAUGGUUCAAAAGUGAAAGACGGUCUUGCUGUCACUUAUAGAUGGAUCCGCGCUGCAUUAGCUAGUUGGUAAGGUAACGGCUUACCAAGGCAACGAUGCAUAGCCGACCUGAGAGGGUGAUCAGCCACACUGGAACUGAGACACGGUCCAGACUCCUACGGGAGGCAGCAGUAGGGAAUAUUCCGCAAUGGGCGAAAGCCUGACGGAGCAACGCCGCGUGAGUGAUGAAGGUCUUCGGAUCGUAAAACUCUGUUAGUUGGGAAGAACAGAUGUGUAAGUAACUGUGCACAUCUUGACGGUACCUAAUCAGAAAGCCACGGCUAACUACGUG
Molecule: ribosomal RNA, 497 nt
Filed under: uncultured bacterium
Lineage: Bacteria
Description: partial 16S ribosomal RNA
Rfam family: Bacterial small subunit ribosomal RNA
Source: RNAcentral